UACAAAUUAUUCACAAUGAUGAAGACAUUACUGAGCCUCUUUAUAGCAGUGAUAUGGUUAUCAGGUGUCCAGUCUGCAGAACAACUUACCCAGUCUGACCCAGUGGUGAUAAAGCCGGGGAACUCCCACACACUGACCUGCAAAGCUUCUGGAUUCACUUUCACUAGCCACUGGAUGAGCUGGGCGAGAGAAAUUGGAGGAAAAUUACAAUGGAUAGGUGAUAUAAAUGCGGGUUCCAGUACCAUACGCUAUCAUGAUGAUUUUAAAGGAAGAUUCACAAUCUCCAGAGAUAACAGUAAUAACAUGCUAAAUCUGAAAAUGGACAACAUGAAAACUGAAGACACUGCCGUGUAUUACUGUGCAAGAUACACACAGUGA
Molecule: non-coding RNA, 378 nt
Organism: Nanorana parkeri
Lineage: Eukaryota; Metazoa; Chordata; Amphibia; Anura; Dicroglossidae
Source: the annotation of a RefSeq genome assembly